GUGCCACUUCAUAGCUAAUCAGUAAAUUCGUUCAAAAGAAUCAAAAACCCACACAGCUUUCAAUGCCCCUUGAAAAGUGACUGCACAACAUCCCGUCCGUGACUUACCAAGUCAUUAACAAACUCAUGAGAGAGAGAGAGAGAGAGAGAGAGAGAGAGAGAGACUGUGUGUGUGAUGCUGAUGCGAUUCUCCAGAUUCCUGGGUUCGAUCCGUUUCUCUCUCUCUCUAUAAAUACAUGCACUAGCGUAUGUAUGUAAGUAUAUAUUAUUAUUGUAUAUAAUGUUGCUGUGAGAUCUCCCGUUUCUGAGAUCUACGGGUGGUGGUUGACAUGGAUUUGUUUUAUUAUUAUUAUUUUUUCAUAAAAAUAAUUACUUGGUGGGGUGGGAAUGCACUGGAGGCAGCGGUUCAUCGAUCUGUUUAUGAGAUUUUGUUGUGAGUAAACACAGUACAUGAAUCGGUCGAUAAACCUCUGCAUCCAGCGCUCACUGUCUCAUUCUUCUCUUUAUUUAUUUUUUAUUUUUGCUGGUAUUUCUGAACUUGCUCUGUUUGGUUGCUGAUAAAGUGUGGGAAAAUAUGGUAAAGAUUGAAGUUUUGGUGUUUUUCCGAACUUCUGAUCGGAACCCAGAAGGCAAAAAGCUUGUUCAUUUUUUUUAGAAGGUGGUCUAAAAGUUUGAACUUGUUUCUUUCUCUUCUAAUGGAAAAAAAAAAAGUGCCUUCUGAAAGAGAGCUUGCAAUUGGAAAACACAACGUCGUCGUCGUGACUGCAUGUAUCUGCAUGUAAGUGAGAGGAAACUGCAGUUCUGUGGAAGUACCAAGUUGCCAGAGAAUCUUCUAUGUUUGAUGUUUACCUGUAGAAUCUGGUAUCAAAUUCCUUGUGCCAAAGUUAUCGGAUUGUGGAAAUUUUGGUUGGAGUAUAGGGUAGGACAAUGUUAUUAACCUCUAUACAUUCUCUUCAGUUCCCUCUUCUCUGAGUUGAGAUCCUCUUCGGACCUCACUGUGGAGUCUAAGGACUAGCAAAUCCGGAAUGUUCAAGAGUGAGAUUUGGGCCUUGGUUUGUGAAAGGUGCCCUAGUAGAAUAAGUUAAUGAGAACUGUCAGAUUCAAUUUGAGUGGUUCGGAUUUCCUGAUCAUUGGGCUUCGAACAAUAAGAUCAGGAGAAGAUCUCAACCUCUUCUCUAAUUCUAUUGGAAUUCUUAUGAAAAUUUGUAAGUUUGUCUUCCUUUGCCAUUUUUGUAUACAUUUAGGAAAUAAUUAAUCUGAUAUGAGCAAUUGUUCUUGGUUAAUAGCA
Pyrus x bretschneideri (Chinese white pear) is the source of this 1287-nucleotide long non-coding RNA. RefSeq lists it as uncharacterized. The record is from RefSeq and is a predicted model, not a curated record. Lineage: Eukaryota; Viridiplantae; Streptophyta; Magnoliopsida; Rosales; Rosaceae. The transcript is spliced from 2 exons.